UACAACUUGUUCACUCAAGGUCACAUGGUCAUUUCGGCUAUACACGUUUAUCAAGUGUACACGUGCAAUAUGCAUAUACAAAUAACAAAUAUGUUAAAAAGAUAUCGAUGAACACCCUUCAAACACACAAAAUAAUAUAGUUUUUACGAUUUGCUAAAAAAAAUUAGUUUGGUAAGAGCUGCAAACAUCGGCAUUUACACGAUUUCACCCAAAAGCAUGAACACUCACCGAGUAUCCAGCCGGCCAUUAACCGACAUAUCAUUGAAACUGAUUAAAUAAAAAUAGAAACGACUAUAAUCAAAACACUUAAACCCUUUAAAAUGCAAUUUAAAGAAUACUUUCUAGAUUAUUCAAAUUAACACGUGUCACAUCCACCUGGAAAUAAGCUAUUUGAUUCAAUUACAGCCGCUUCAUGAUCUAUUAUCAAAUACUGGUGGGGACUUAAGAAUCCCUUUUAAAUAUAUGUACAAACAAAUCACUUGAUUUACUCCAAUAUAUGAAAUGAAAAUAAAAACUAAAGAAAUAAAUUAUAAACAGGCCACUUAACCAAAAGUUGGCGUCAUCGGCCACCGCAUAAACCAACACAUACAAAAUCCGGCGAAAGCAAGCACUAUAUGUGUAUUCUCGUAUGUAUACAUAUGCGCAACGAUGUACAGAAAUUGCACUGGGGCCCCGCCAUUCGCAACUACCUACAUAUCACAUAUCCACAUACUUGUAAAUUACAAUUUAAUCAUACAUUUCACUUAGAUUAAUCGUACUUUUUCACAUUCCGUAAUAUCAUCAUAACCUCAAACUUGAAUAUGUUACUGUUCCUUCGAUUAAAAACCCCAAAAAUGUUAACAUUUUCACAUUCAGUUAUACACUCAAUCCACGUUUAAUUAUAUACGGCUAAUUAGAUAUACUUAAAAUUAUCGAAUUUCUAUGUUUCAUGCAUGAAAUGAUCUAUCUCCUGAAUUUUCAUUAACAUAUGGUGAUUGGAAAUGCAAUGCUUACCUCCAUAACGAUGCGUCCAAGCGGCUGUCCGUCAGCAGCCAUAUCAAAAAAUACACGGGGAAGACCCAUUUUGCCCUUAUUGCUUUUACUGCUAUUACUUACGAAA
Bactrocera oleae (olive fruit fly) is the source of this 1099-nucleotide non-coding RNA. NCBI's taxonomy places the organism in Eukaryota, Metazoa, Arthropoda, Insecta, Diptera, Tephritidae. The record is from RefSeq and is a predicted model, not a curated record.